RNAcentral lists this ribosomal RNA (486 nucleotides) under uncultured bacterium. RNAcentral's name for it is "bacterial SSU rRNA". It matches the Rfam family "Bacterial small subunit ribosomal RNA", at positions 26 to 518 of the family's 1533-position model. The record is from RNAcentral.
AGGACGAACGCUGGCGGCGUGCUUAACACAUGCAAGUCGAACGAGGUUACUGAAGAGCUUGCUCUGAGGUAGACCGAGUGGCGGACGGGUGAGUAACGCGUGAGGAACCUGUCUUACACAGGGGGAUAACGCACCGAAAGGUGUGCUAAUACCGCAUAAGACCACACUUUCGCAUGGAAGAGGGGUCAAAGGAGCGAUCCGGUGUAAGGUGGACUCGCGUCCCAUUAGGCAGUUGCGGGGUAACGGCCCACCAAACCGACGAUGGGUAGCCGACCUGAGAGGGUGAUCGGCCACAUUGGAACUGAGACACGGUCCAAACUCCUACGGGAGGCAGCAGUGGGGAAUAUUGGGCAAUGGGCGCAAGCCCUGACCCAGCAACGCCGCGUGAGGGAAGAAGGUUUUCGGAUUGUAAACCUCUGUCCUCGAUGAAAAGGAGAAGAUGGUAAUUGAGGAGGAAGCCCCGGCUAACUACGUGCCAGCCGCAGC